AGAGUUUGAUCAUGGCUCAGAAUCAACGCUGGCGGCGUGCCUAACACAUGCAAGUCGCACGAGAAAGCGGGCUUCGGCCUGCGAGUACAGUGGCGCACGGGUGAGUAACACGUGAAUAAUCUACCUCCGAGUGGGGAAUAACCUAGAGAAAUCUGGGCUAAUACCGCAUAACACUUACGAGUCAAAGCAGCAAUGCGCUUGGAGAGGAGUUCGCGGCAGAUUAGUUAGUUGGCAGGGUAAUGGCCUACCAAGACGAUGAUCUGUAUCCGGCCUGAGAGGGCGCACGGACACACUGGAACUGAAACACGGUCCAGACUCCUACGGGAGGCAGCAGUGGGGAAUUUUGCGCAAUGGGGGAAACCCUGACGCAGCAACGCCGCGUGGAGGAUGAAAUCCCUUGGGAUGUAAACUCCUUUCGAUCGGGACGAUUAUGACGGUACCGGAAGAAGAAGCCCCGGCUAACUUCGUGCCAGCAGCCGCGGUAAUACGAGGGGGGCAAGCGUUGUUCGGAAUUAUUGGGCGUAAAGGGCGCGUAGGCGGUUUGACAAGUCUGAUGUGAAAUCUCUGGGCUCAACCCAGAGUCUGCAUUAGAAACUGUCGAGCUUGAGUAUGGGAGAGGUGAGUGGAAUUUCCGGUGUAGCGGUGAAAUGCGUAGAUAUCGGAAGGAACACCUGUGGCGAAAGCGGCUCACUGGACCAUAACUGACGCUGAGGCGCGAAAGCUAGGGGAGCAAACAGGAUUAGAUACCCUAGUAGUCC
RNAcentral lists this ribosomal RNA (758 nucleotides) under uncultured bacterium. RNAcentral's name for it is "bacterial SSU rRNA". It matches the Rfam family "Bacterial small subunit ribosomal RNA", at positions 8 to 796 of the family's 1533-position model. The record is from RNAcentral.